Molecule: ribosomal RNA, 744 nt
Filed under: uncultured Glomeromycotina
Lineage: Eukaryota; Fungi; Glomeromycota
Description: eukaryotic LSU rRNA
Rfam family: Eukaryotic large subunit ribosomal RNA
Source: RNAcentral
GCAUAUCAAUAAGCGGAGGAAAAGAAAAUAACAAUGAUUCCCCCAGUAACUGCGAGUGAAGAGGGACAAGCUCAAAUUUUAAAUCUGUUGGGUUCUCCUGACCGAGUUGUAAUUUGAAGAAGCGUUUUCCGCGCCGUUUGAUCAGCCCAAGUCUUAUUGAAUGAGGCAUCAUGGAGGGUGAUAAUCCCGUUCGGUUGAUCAAUGGUGCUUUACGAUACGCUUUCAAAGAGUCAAGUUGUUUGGGAUUGCAGCUUAAAAUGGGAGGUAAAUUUCUCCUAAGGCUAAAUAUUGGCGAGAGACCGAUAGCGAACAAGUACCGUGAGGGAAAGAUGAAAAGAACUUUGAAAAGAGAGUUAAACAGUACGUGAAAUUGUUGAAAGGGAAACGAUUGAAGCCAGUCGUACCGGCGGGUAAUCAGCCUUUCGGGUAUGAUUCUGUGGAGCGUGAGGAGUUAAACGCCUUCAUGCCUGCAUAUUCGUGCUCUUGGGUGUACUUGCUCGUGUGGUUGGUUAACAUCAAUUUCGGUUAUCAUAAAAUGGCUGGAGGAAUGUAGCUUCGAUCUCGUAUUGAAGUGUUAUAGCCUUCGGCAGAUGUGAUGAUUGGGAUCGAGGAUUGCAACGGAUACCCUUCGGGGCUACCUGUCUGAUUUCUGAUCGUUGCUCUGGUGCCGAAAGCUUGCUUACGGUUAUCAAAGUCGAUGGUCAAUAGGUUAGAAUGGGUUAAAUUCGUUAAGAUGUUGACGUA